This is a long non-coding RNA of Cucumis melo (muskmelon), 1176 nucleotides long. RefSeq lists it as uncharacterized. The transcript is spliced from 2 exons. The record is from RefSeq and is a predicted model, not a curated record. Lineage: Eukaryota; Viridiplantae; Streptophyta; Magnoliopsida; Cucurbitales; Cucurbitaceae.
UUUCAAUCUUUUGAUUUUUCCUGUGGGUGUAGCCAGUGAAUCCUGCCUUUAGAUACAGAAUCAAACUCCAAUUUUCUGCAAAAAUUCAAUUUCAAAAACCCCUUCAAACACCAUAGCUACACCAAUCCAAAAGGUUCAUUUUCAAAGACAGAGAGGAUGCUUGCCCCUUUCAAGUAAACAUCACUGAAGAUGGAAUCAAAGUUUUUUUUUCCUCAUGAAGUCAGAUCAGUAAAAACAAAUUUCAAGUUCCACUUCAAUGGCAGAAAAUCAUUGCCAAUGGUAGAACAAUGGCAGGAGGAGGCUAGCAUAUCAGUCCCACGUCCUCAUACUUUCAGUUUGCUCCUGGAUUUUAUGAUCGUUCGAUGGCGGUCUGAAUAAUGUCCUGGAAGAAGAAGGCUCAAAAUGACUUCUUGACUUGCUGUCUUUCUGGAAGUUUUGCUAAAACAAGCUUUAGUUUCUCCACUUCCUUUUUAAGUACCUGGUGUCUACCUGUAGCAAGGAUUAUCUUUUCCAAAAUUAACAAAGUGCUUUAACAAUCCAAAAGAGUAAGAAGAUCAGCAUGGUAAGGAUUAAGGACCAUGGUAUUUGGGAAGUCUAGUCCCAUUUUCAUGCGAAUCUUUAUUCUCUCUCCAUAUGUCAGAUAUCAAAGUUGUUAUUCCUUCUCCUUGAAGUAAGUUGGUUUGGAAAGGUAGGUAAGGGAAGAAGGUAUAAGUACUUUCUUUGCCUUCAAUUCGUAGAAGCAUCAACACGACAGAAGGGUUGCUGAAAAAAGUACCUCACUUUUCCCUUUUCAUACUCAAUCUGGGGAUACAGAUGGUUGAAACCAUAAGAUGACCAUUGCUUCGUUGUCCUUUCAAGUUUCACUUGGUGAUAUUGGAAGGUUUUGGAGGCAACUUUGUUCCUUCUUCCUCUUUGGAUUGGGAUUUCACUUUUCAGUAGCUUGUGAGCGCCUUCUGAAAGUAAAGCUAUGUUGGUAGAGUGUGAUGUGUUCAAGGCAAUUUCAAGAAUGAAAAAUUUCUUUAAGGGGGUGGAUUAAUCUUUUAAGGGGAUGGAUAUCUUAAGAGCAAAUCAUCAGUCGUUAAGAAUCUAUGAAUGAAUUAUCAGCUUUAUCUCAAAUUUGACCAGUUGAAUUUUCUAUUUUUAUUUUUCAAUAAAGAAUCAACCAAUGUAAGAUCA